AUUGAACGCUGGCGGCAGGCUUAACACAUGCAAGUCGAGCGAGAGGCGGACGGGUGAGUAAUGUCUGGGAAACUGCCUGAUGGAGGGGGAUAACUAGUGGAAACGGUAGAUAAUACCGCAUACCCUCAGAUCGGCCCAGAUGGGAGUAGCUAGUAGGUGGGGUAAUGGCUUACCUAGGCGACGAUCCAUAGCUGGUCUGAGAGGAUGACCAGCCACACUGGAACUGAGACACGGUCCAGACUCCUACGGGAGGCAGCAGUGGGGAAUAUUGCGCAGUGGGCGCAAGCCUGAUGCAGCCAUGCCGCGUGUGUGAAGAAGGUCUUCGGGUUGUACAGCACUUUCAGCCAGGAGGCGUUAUUUGCAGAAGAAGCACCGGCUAACUCCGUGCCAGCAGCCGCGGUAAUUC
Molecule: ribosomal RNA, 406 nt
Filed under: uncultured bacterium
Lineage: Bacteria
Description: partial 16S ribosomal RNA
Rfam family: Bacterial small subunit ribosomal RNA
Source: RNAcentral